RNAcentral lists this non-coding RNA (89 nucleotides) under Stenotrophomonas indicatrix. Lineage: Bacteria; Pseudomonadati; Pseudomonadota; Gammaproteobacteria; Lysobacterales; Lysobacteraceae. The record is from RNAcentral.
GGCUAUGGCGGGCGGUGCGUGGGGGCUUGAUGCCCGCCGGUGUAUGCGUAGAGCUCCGGGAUUCGAACCACGUACCGUCCGCCACCUCU